UAGAGUUUGAUCCUGGCUCAGGACGAACGCUGGCGGCGUGCUUAACACAUGCAAGUCGAACGGACUGGCAGGGCUUGCUCUGCUGGUUAGUGGCGAACGGGUGAGUAACACGUGAGCAAUCUGCCCCUGACUCUGGGAUAACUUCGGGAAACCGUAGCUAAUACCGGAUAUGACGCGCGAAGGCAUCUUCUGCGCGUGGAAAGAAUUUCGGUCAGGGAUGAGCUCGCGGCCUAUCAGCUUGUUGGUGAGGUAAUGGCUCACCAAGGCGACGACGGGUAGCCGGCCUGAGAGGGUGACCGGCCACACUGGGACUGAGACACGGCCCAGACUCCUACGGGAGGCAGCAGUGGGGAAUAUUGCACAAUGGGCGAAAGCCUGAUGCAGCAACGCCGCGUGAGGGACGACGGCCUUCGGGUUGUAAACCUCUUUUGUCAGGGAAGAAGCGAAAGUGACGGUACCUGAAGAAAAAGCACCGGCUAACUACGUGCCAGCAGCCGCGGUAAUACGUAGGGUGCAAGCGUUGUCCGGAAUUAUUGGGCGUAAAGAGCUCGUAGGCGGUUUGUCGCGUCUGCUGUGAAAACCCGAGGCUCAACCUCGGGCCUGCAGUGGGUACGGGCAGACUAGAGUGCGGUAGGGGAGAUUGGAAUUCCUGGUGUAGCGGUGGAAUGCGCAGAUAUCAGGAGGAACACCGAUGGCGAAGGCAGAUCUCUGGGCCGUAACUGACGCUGAGGAGCGAAAGCGUGGGGAGCGAACAGGAUUAGAUACCCUGGUAGUCCACGCC
This 781-nucleotide ribosomal RNA is filed under the name uncultured bacterium. RNAcentral's name for it is "bacterial SSU rRNA". It matches the Rfam family "Bacterial small subunit ribosomal RNA", at positions 1 to 801 of the family's 1533-position model. The record is from RNAcentral.